This 296-nucleotide small nuclear RNA is filed under the name Castor canadensis (American beaver). Its description in RNAcentral is "7SK RNA (ENSCCNG00000023894.1)". It matches the Rfam family "7SK RNA". Rfam says of the family: 7SK was discovered as an abundant small nuclear RNA in the mid-70s but a possible function has only recently been suggested. Two independent studies have found that 7SK RNA binds the CDK9/cyclin T complex (known as elongation factor P-TEFb). Lineage: Eukaryota; Metazoa; Chordata; Mammalia; Rodentia; Castoridae. The record is from Rfam by way of RNAcentral.
GGAUGUGAGGGCGAUCUGGAUGCAACAUCUGUCACCAAAUUGAUCGCCAGGGUUGAUUCGGCUGAUCUGGCUGGCUAGGCGGGUAUCCACUUCCUCCCUCACCGCUCCAUGUACAUCCCUCCCGAAGCUGAGCGCUCCAUCAAAGAGACGACCAUCCUUGAUAGAGGAGGACCAUUCUUUGGUCAAGGGGAUACAAGUAGCUGCGCUCCCCUGCUAGAACCUCCAAACAAGCUCUCAAAAAUAACCAAAGCAGAAAGGUCUAGGGAUGUGGUUCAAAUGGUAGAGUACCUGCCUAG